This 286-nucleotide ribosomal RNA is filed under the name Staphylococcus epidermidis NIH05005. RNAcentral describes it as "partial 16S ribosomal RNA". It matches the Rfam family "Bacterial small subunit ribosomal RNA", at positions 1 to 274 of the family's 1533-position model. Lineage: Bacteria; Bacillati; Bacillota; Bacilli; Caryophanales; Staphylococcaceae. The record is from RNAcentral.
UUUUUAUGGAGAGUUUGAUCCUGGCUCAGGAUGAACGCUGGCGGCGUGCCUAAUACAUGCAAGUCGAGCGAACAGACGAGGAGCUUGCUCCUCUGACGUUAGCGGCGGACGGGUGAGUAACACGUGGAUAACCUACCUAUAAGACUGGGAUAACUUCGGGAAACCGGAGCUAAUACCGGAUAAUAUAUUGAACCGCAUGGUUCAAUAGUGAAAGACGGUUUUGCUGUCACUUAUAGAUGGAUCCGCGCCGCAUUAGCUAGUUGGUAAGGUAACGGCUUACCAAGGC